UAGCUACCAAAGUUUUAGCUACCAACUUUAGAAUCUAAAUAAUUGGUAGCUAAAACCUUGGUAGUUGUUCUUACAGGGCCUAGAAACAAUUAACUCAUUCUCCUUUUGUCUUCUCAACUUCUCGGUCUCUUGAUAUUGACUUGGGCUUUCGGCUACAAGGUCCAUAGACUUGAACUUGGACUAAUUCUUGGGUGUGGGAUAUGGGCUAUCACUUGUCGGGCUUGGUCAGAUUCAACUUUCGGCUUCUGGGCUUAUG
This 256-nucleotide long non-coding RNA is filed under the name Phaseolus vulgaris (common bean). Its description in RNAcentral is "long non-coding RNA (PVUL_LNC000834)". The record is from RNAcentral. Lineage: Eukaryota; Viridiplantae; Streptophyta; Magnoliopsida; Fabales; Fabaceae.